RNAcentral lists this ribosomal RNA (497 nucleotides) under uncultured bacterium. RNAcentral describes it as "partial 16S ribosomal RNA". It matches the Rfam family "Bacterial small subunit ribosomal RNA", at positions 28 to 507 of the family's 1533-position model. The record is from RNAcentral.
GAUGAACGCUGGCGGCGUGCCUAAUACAUGCAAGUCGAGCGAACAGACGAGGAGCUUGCUCCUUUGACGUUAGCGGCGGACGGGUGAGUAACACGUGGGUAACCUACCUAUAAGACUGGGAUAACUUCGGGAAACCGGAGCUAAUACCGGAUAAUAUUUCGAACCGCAUGGUUCGAUAGUGAAAGAUGGCUCUGCCAUCACUUAUAGAUGGACCUGCGCCGUAUUAGCUAGUUGGUAAGGUAACGGCUUACCAAGGCAACGAUACGUAGCCGACCUGAGAGGGUGAUCGGCCACACUGGAACUGAGACACGGUCCAGACUCCUACGGGAGGCAGCAGUAGGGAAUCUUCCGCAAUGGGCGAAGGCCUGACGGAGCAACGCCGCGUGAGUGAUGAAGGUCUUCGGAUCGUAAAACUCUGUUAUUAGGGAAGAACAAACGUGUAAGUAACUGUGCACGUCUUGACGGUACCUAAUCAGAAAGCCACGGCUAACUACGUG